GUUAAUAAAAAUCGGGUGCGUUGCAAUUUUUGUGACGUUUCCGGAGUUUGAGUUAUCUUAAUUAACUUCGGUUUUAAGAGGCUUAAAAUUGACCUUUUUGUGCAUUUUAGACGUACAUAAAUUUUUUUUUAUUCGUCCAUUCUAAUGCCAAAAUCUAUUAGAUGCGACCAUAUCUUGUGGUUCCGUGUCUAUAAAAUUUUCAUGA
This 205-nucleotide unclassified non-coding RNA is filed under the name uncultured Rhizophagus. Its description in RNAcentral is "partial internal transcribed spacer 2". Lineage: Eukaryota; Fungi; Glomeromycota; Glomeromycetes; Glomerales; Glomeraceae. The record is from RNAcentral.